GAAGUGGUCCUACCUUAGCGGUCAGCGCGGGGUCUCCCGGGGCCCUGCAGGGCGGGCAGGCUGUGCUAUCCCGCAGCCAGACGUCGGGAUGGUGCAGCUGUACAACCUGCACCCGUUCGGGUCGCAGCAGGUGGUGCCCUGCAAGCUGGAGCCGGACCGGUUCUGCGGCGGGGGGCGUGACGCGCUUUUCGUGGCGGCGGGCUGCAAGGUGGAGGCGUUCGCGGUGGCCGGCCAGGAGCUGUGCCAGCCACGGUGCGCCUUCUCCACGCUGGGCCGGGUGUUGCGCCUGGCCUACAGCGAGGCUGAAAGGCCUCUGGCUGGAUUCCACUCAUCUCGGAUACUUAAGCAAACAAUAACAAAAAACUCUUCAGUGCAUCAGAUUUCACAGACUUACCAAAAAAACAAGUAGGAAUAAGGAGACUAGUACUGUAUCCUGGAACCUCCAAGUACUCCCAGCUUUAACAAUCAUUCCACCUCUUGGCAGUUCUUUCACAUCUGUACCUCCAUCCACUUCCGGUCGGUUUUUGAAAGCUCACAUUAUGUGUUGAUUUUUAAAUGU
This 559-nucleotide small RNA is filed under the name Pongo abelii (Sumatran orangutan). RNAcentral describes it as "processed transcript". Lineage: Eukaryota; Metazoa; Chordata; Mammalia; Primates; Hominidae. The record is from RNAcentral.